Molecule: transfer RNA, 60 nt
Filed under: Chloroleucon mangense var. mangense
Lineage: Eukaryota; Viridiplantae; Streptophyta; Magnoliopsida; Fabales; Fabaceae
Description: partial tRNA-Glu
Source: RNAcentral
UAACCCUACCCCCAGGGGAAGUCGAAUCCCCGCUGCCUCCUUGAAAGGGGAGAUGUCUAA